RNAcentral lists this ribosomal RNA (254 nucleotides) under uncultured bacterium. RNAcentral's name for it is "partial 16S ribosomal RNA". It matches the Rfam family "Bacterial small subunit ribosomal RNA", at positions 524 to 776 of the family's 1533-position model. The record is from RNAcentral.
GACGUAGGGUGCAAGCGUUGUCCGGAUUUACUGGGCGUAAAGAGCGCGUAGGCGGUCUUGUAAGUGUGAAGUGAAAUCUCCAGGGCUCAACCCGGAAACUGCUUUGCAUACUGCGAGACUAGAGGGAUGCAGAAGUUUGUGGAAUUCCUGGUGUAGCGGUGGAAUGCGCAGAUAUCAGGAAGAACACCCGUGGCGAAGGCGGCUCUCUGGAACGCAACUGACGCUGAGACGCGAAAGCGUGGGGAGCAAACAGG